Molecule: ribosomal RNA, 497 nt
Filed under: uncultured bacterium
Lineage: Bacteria
Description: partial 16S ribosomal RNA
Rfam family: Bacterial small subunit ribosomal RNA
Source: RNAcentral
GACGAACGCUGGCGGCGUGCCUAAUACAUGCAAGUCGAGCGAACAGAUCAUGAGCUUGCUCCUCUGACGUUAGCGGCGCACGGGUGAGUAACGUGUGGAUACCCUACCUAUAUUACUGGGAUAACUUCGGGAAUGCGGAUCUUAUACCGGAUAAUAUAUUGAACCGCAUGGGUCAAUAGUGAAAGACGGCUUUGCUGGCUCUUAUAGAUGGUUCCGCGCCGCAUUAGCUAGUUGGUAAGGUAACGGCUUACCAAGGCAACGAGGCGUAUACGACCUGAGAGGCGGAUAGGCCGCAGUGGAACUGAACCACGGUCCUGACUCCUGAGAUAGGGAGCAGUCGGGAAUCUUACGCAGUAGGCGAGAAUCUGACGGAGCAACGGCGCGUCAGUGAUAACGGUCUUCGGAUCGUAAUAAUGUCUUACGAGGUGAAAACCACUGUGUAAGUAACUAUGCACGUCUUGACGGUACCUAGUAAGAAAGCCACGGCUAACUACGUG